UCAUCGGUCUCCUGACCACGACCACGACCAUCGAAAACACGACCAAAACCGUCAUAGGUCUCCUGACCAGGACCAGGACCAAAUAAAAACCGAUUAUAAGGCUCCUGACCAGGACCAUCUGAAAAACGACCAAAACGGUCAUUACUAUACCUUUCACCAGAUUCCUGGCCAAAAGAGAAUUGAUCGAUAGACAUGUUAUCUGCCUCCGCUUUUACACUAAACGAUGAGAUCAACAAAUCCACCUUUUCUUCCAUCUUUUGAAGACGACUAUCCAUCUUUUCUUCCAUCUUCUGAAGACGAUCAGCCACUCCUUGCAAUAUCUCCAUCACAUCAGAUAUUUUCUUCUCAGCCAUGUCUUUCUUAUGUUUCUCCAAAACAUCUUUCGGCUCUC
This 391-nucleotide long non-coding RNA is filed under the name Brassica napus (rape). RNAcentral describes it as "long non-coding RNA (BNAP_LNC013772)". The record is from RNAcentral. Lineage: Eukaryota; Viridiplantae; Streptophyta; Magnoliopsida; Brassicales; Brassicaceae.